GGACGAUUCUGUGUUUAGAUUUUGGCCUGUUCCUCAUUUUAAAAUCUUGCACCCCCAGUAUUGUACUGUACAUUCUGUCCUGCCACAUUUAAUUGAUAUAGAUGUAGUUCUUUAAAUAAUACAGUAGUCGUAAGACAAUGCUUUCAGUCUUUCACUCUUUAUAUUAUAUGAAGUCUUAUUUAUAUUUAACAUUCUUAUUGCCUGCUUAGAGAAGAAAACUGGUUAUCCAUGCUCACCUUCACACCUGUGUUGUCAAAUACUAUAAAAUACUGUAUUUUAUAGGGAUUCAAGUAUUAACCCUCACCAAGUCUUUUUAAGCAUCACUGCUUCAGUUAUUUUCUUGCCUAUAGAUACUCGAUUCUUCUGCCUCAGCCUCCUGAGUAGCUGGGAUUACAGGCGUGUGCCACCACGCCCGGGUAAUUUUUGUAUUUUUAAUAGAGACGGGGUUUCACCAUGUUGGUCAGGCUGGUCUCAAACUCCUGACCUUGUGAUCUGCCUGCCUCGGCCUCCCAAAGUGCUGGGAUUACAGGUGUCAGCCACCGCACCCGGCCAGAAGUGGUUUCUUCUCAUGUGGAUGCUACAGUGACAGUUCAGGUGACUUGGAAAUUCUUUGUUGUUUGAGAUUCAUAACUCUUACUUGCUAGGAUGUUUGUGGGGACUUUUUAUUUUCUAUUUAUCAAUUAUUUCAUCCUUUGCUAUAUUUGCCUUCUAUUUUUAAUGCUUAAGUUGUCACCAUGGAAAUAAACUGGGUAGAUUGCAUAUUGUUUAGAACCG
RNAcentral lists this long non-coding RNA (774 nucleotides) under Homo sapiens (human). RNAcentral's name for it is "HSALNT0334429". Lineage: Eukaryota; Metazoa; Chordata; Mammalia; Primates; Hominidae. The record is from RNAcentral.